GACCAUGCGUCAUACAAUAUAAAGCGGAUGCCGACAGUGCUGGAACAAUUCCACGUUGCGCCGACAGCUGCUGUUGUCCCCUCGGAAAGAUCCAGACACACUUCGUGGAUCACACUGCCACUUCUCAUUCCAUUAUAAAAAUGCAUGUCGGCUACGGAUUCCUCAUGUUGGUCCUCCUUAUAGUGACCAUGUUCAUGGCAGAAGGAGAGGCCUGCGAUGCUGCUAAGUUAGCCAUGAGUGCAGCAUGUAGUGUGUUCGGGCGUGAAGAAAAACUUCCUCGUGUACGACUCCAGUGAUAAAUGGCUCACCAUUGACCCGACUGCGGCGUCGUUUGGCACAAUGUUUGUUGAAUAAACAACGUUACGCUGCUCGCAA
This is a long non-coding RNA of Rhipicephalus microplus (southern cattle tick), 375 nucleotides long. RefSeq lists it as uncharacterized. The record is from RefSeq and is a predicted model, not a curated record. Lineage: Eukaryota; Metazoa; Arthropoda; Arachnida; Ixodida; Ixodidae.